GAUGAACGCUGGCGGCGUGCCUAAUACAUGCAAGUCGAACGAACAGACCCUGCGUUUGUUCCUUUCACGUUUGGCGCGCACGGGUGUAUCACACGUGGAUCCCCUCCUUAUCUUUCUGGUAUCUUCUCGGGACUCCGGCUAAUAUCGCAUAGAAUCUAUUGAUCCGCAUGGUUGAUUAGUGAAUUUCGGCUUUGCUGUAUCUUCUCGAUGCUUCUCCGCGGCUUUUGCUGGUUGUUAAGGUAACGGCUUACUAAGGCAACGAUGCGUAGCCGACCUGAGAGGGUGAUCGGCCACACUGGAACUGGGACACGGUCAAGACGCCUACGGGAGGCAGCAGUAGGGAAUCGUCCGCAAUGGGCGAAAGCCUGACGGAGCAACGCCGAGUGAGAGAUGAAGGUCUUCGGAUCGUAAAACUCUGUUAUUAGGGAAGAACAAAUGUGUAAGUAACUAUGCACGUCUUGACGGUACCUAAUCAGAAAGCCACGGCUAACUACGUG
RNAcentral lists this ribosomal RNA (497 nucleotides) under uncultured bacterium. Its description in RNAcentral is "partial 16S ribosomal RNA". It matches the Rfam family "Bacterial small subunit ribosomal RNA", at positions 28 to 507 of the family's 1533-position model. The record is from RNAcentral.